AACGAACGCUGGCGGCAGGCCUAACACAUGCAAGUCGAGCGAGGACUUCGGUUCUAGCGGCGGACGGGUGAGUAACGCGUGGGAAUGUGCCCUUCUCUACGGAAUAGCCCUGGGAAACUGGGAGUAACACCGUAUACGCCCUUUUGGGGAAAGAUUUAUCGGAGAAGGAUCAGCCCGCGUUGGAUUAGGUAGUUGGUGGGGUAAUGGCCUACCAAGCCGACGAUCCAUAGCUGGUUUGAGAGGAUGAUCAGCCACACUGGGACUGAGACACGGCCCAGACUCCUACGGGAGGCAGCAGUGGGGAAUCUUAGACAAUGGGGGCAACCCUGAUCUAGCCAUGCCGCGUGAGUGAUGAAGGCCUUAGGGUUGUAAAGCUCUUUCAGCUGGGAAGAUAAUGACGGUACCAGCAGAAGAAGCCCCGGCUAACUCCGUG
Molecule: ribosomal RNA, 433 nt
Filed under: uncultured bacterium
Lineage: Bacteria
Description: partial 16S ribosomal RNA
Rfam family: Bacterial small subunit ribosomal RNA
Source: RNAcentral